AAAGAUCAGGGCCUAACCCUGGAAAAGCAGUGGAAACUAACAGGCUUGAGUGUGGUAGAGGUAGAGGGAAUUCCUGGUGUAGCGGUGAAAUGCGUGAAUAUUAGGAAGAACACCAAUGGCGAAACGACUCUACUGGGCCAUAACUGACACUGAGAGACGACAGCUAGGGGAGCAAAUGGGAUUAGGUACCCCAGUAGUCCUAGCCGUAAACGAUGGAUACUAGGUGUUGCACGUAUUAACCCGUGCAGUAUCGUAGCUAAGGCGUUAAGUAUCCCGCCUGGRAAGUACGCUCGCAAGAGUGAAACUCAAAGGAAUGACGGGGG
This 323-nucleotide ribosomal RNA is filed under the name uncultured eukaryote. RNAcentral's name for it is "bacterial SSU rRNA". It matches the Rfam family "Bacterial small subunit ribosomal RNA", at positions 597 to 919 of the family's 1533-position model. The record is from RNAcentral.